Molecule: ribosomal RNA, 253 nt
Filed under: uncultured bacterium
Lineage: Bacteria
Description: partial 16S ribosomal RNA
Rfam family: Bacterial small subunit ribosomal RNA
Source: RNAcentral
UACGGAGGGUGCUAGCGUUGUUCGGAAUCACUGGGCGUAAAGGGCGUGUAGGCGGUCUGUUAAGUCUGAUGUGAAAUCCCCUCGCUCAACGAGGGAACUGCGUCGGAUACUGGCAGACUCGAGUACCGGAGAGGAAGGUGGAAUUCCCGGUGUAGCGGUGAAAUGCGUAGAUAUCUGGAGGAACACCGGUGGCGAAGGCGGCAUCCUGGACCAAUAUUGACGCUGAGGAGCGAAAGCCAGGGGAGCAAACGGG